This 403-nucleotide ribosomal RNA is filed under the name uncultured bacterium. RNAcentral describes it as "partial 16S ribosomal RNA". It matches the Rfam family "Bacterial small subunit ribosomal RNA", at positions 30 to 526 of the family's 1533-position model. The record is from RNAcentral.
AUUGAACGCUGGCGGCAGGCCUAACACAUGCAAGUCGAGCGAGCGGCGGACGGGUGAGUAAUGUAUGGGGACUGCCCGAUAGAGGGGGAUAACUACUGGAAACGGUAGCUAAUACCGCAUACUAUCGGAUAACCCAUAUGGGAUGAGCUAGUAGGUGAGGUAAUGGCUCACCUAGGCGACGAUCCCUAGCUGGUCUGAGAGGAUGAUCAGGCACACUGGGAUUGAGACACGGCCCAUAGUCCUACGGAGUCAGCAGUGGGGAAGAGUGAACAGGGGGGUCAAGCCGGAUGCAGCCAUGCCGCGUGUGUGAAGAAGGCCUGCGGGUUGUAAAGUACUUUCAGCCAGGAGGCGUGACUCGCAGAAGAAGCACCUGCUAACUCCGUGCCAGCAGCCGCGGUAAUUC